This 696-nucleotide ribosomal RNA is filed under the name uncultured bacterium. Its description in RNAcentral is "bacterial SSU rRNA". It matches the Rfam family "Bacterial small subunit ribosomal RNA", at positions 708 to 1399 of the family's 1533-position model. The record is from RNAcentral.
CCCGUGGGGAAGGGGGGUUUUUGGGCUUCUUUCUUAAGGUGGAGGAAGGAAGGGGGGGGUAGCAAACAGGGAUUUGUUACCCUGGUAGUUCCCGCUGUUAAACGAUGAAUUGAUAGGGUGUCGGGAGUGGAAUUUUGGUGCCGCAGUUAACACAUUAAACAUUCCGCCUGGGGAGUACGUGCGCAAGCGUGAAAAUCAAAAGGAAUUGACGGGGGCCCGCACAAGCAGCGGAGCAUGUGGUUUAAUUUGAAGCAACGCGAAGAACCUUACCUGGGCUUGACAUAUACGUGAAUAUGUUAGAGAUAACAUAGUCUCUUUGGAGACGCGUAUACAGGUGGUGCAUGGUUGUCGUCAGCUCGUGUCGUGAGAUGUUGGGUUAAGUCCCGCAACGAGCGCAACCCUCGUCUUUAGUUACCAUCAAGUAAUGUUGGGGACUCUAAAGAGACUGCCGGUGAUAAACCGGAGGAAGGUGAGGAUGACGUCAAAUCAUCAUGCCCUAUAUGUCCAGGGCUACACACGUGCUACAAUGGUCUUUACAAAGUGAAGCAAGAUAGCGAUAUUAAGCGAAUCACAUAAAACAGAUCUCAGUUCGGAUUGCAGGCUGCAACUCGCCCCCAUGAAGUCGGAGUUGCUAGUAAUCGUGGAUCAGAAUGCCACGGUGAAUGCGUUCCCGGGUCUUGUACACACCGCCCGUCA